UACCUGCAGCUCGAGUGGUGAUCAUUAUUAUUGGGCCUAAAACGUCCGUAGCCGGUUUCGUAAAUGCCUGGGUAAAUCGUUUGGCUUAACCAAACGAAUUCCGGGUAGACUACGAGACUCGAGAUCGGGAGAUGCUAGAGGUACUCCUUGGGUAGAGGUGAAAUUCUGUAAUCCUGGGGGGACCACCAGUGGCGAAGGCGUCUAGCAAGAACGAGUCUGACGGUGAGGGACGAAGCUCUGGGGCGCAAACGGGAUUAGAUACCCGCGUA
RNAcentral lists this ribosomal RNA (269 nucleotides) under uncultured prokaryote. RNAcentral describes it as "partial 16S ribosomal RNA". It matches the Rfam family "Archaeal small subunit ribosomal RNA", at positions 474 to 743 of the family's 1478-position model. The record is from RNAcentral.